GUGGUGAAGAAGGCCUUAUGGUGUAAGGCACUAUAUGCGAGAGGAGCUACUGAAUAAUACCUAAGAUCUGACGUUACUCCGCAAAUUAGCGCCAGGCUAACUCUGUGCCAGCAGCCGCGGUAAUACAGAGGGUGCGAGCGUUAAUCGGAUUUACUGGGCGUAAAGCGUGCGUAGGCGGCUUAUUAAGUCGGAUGUGAAAUCCCCGAGCUUAACUUGGGAAUUGCAUUCGAUACUGGUGAGCUAGAGUAUGGGAGAGGAUGGUAGAAUUCCAGGUGUAGCGGUGAGAUGCGUAGAGAUCUGGAGGAAUACCGAUGGCGAAGGCAGCCAUCUGGCCUAAUACUGACGCUGAGGUACGAAAGCAUGGGGAGCAAACAGGAUUAGAUACCCUGGUAGUCCAUGCCGUAAACGAUGUCUACUAGCCGUUGGGGCCUUUGAGGCUUUAGUGGCGCAGCUAACGCGAUAAGUAGACCGCCUGGGGAGUACGGUCGCAAGACUAAAAACUCAAAUGAAUUGACGGGGGCCCGCACAAGCGGUGGAGCAUGUGGUUUAAUUCGAUGCAACGCGAAGAACCUUUACUGGGCUUUGACUACUAGAAACUUCCAGAGAUGGAUUGGUGCCUUCGGGAAUCAGAUACGGGUGCGGGUGGUCGUCGGCCGCUCGUGCUCGGGAGACUGUUGGGGUAAGUCC
RNAcentral lists this ribosomal RNA (687 nucleotides) under uncultured bacterium. RNAcentral describes it as "bacterial SSU rRNA". It matches the Rfam family "Bacterial small subunit ribosomal RNA", at positions 401 to 1087 of the family's 1533-position model. The record is from RNAcentral.